RNAcentral lists this small RNA (176 nucleotides) under Urocitellus parryii (Arctic ground squirrel). RNAcentral's name for it is "TUC338 (ENSUPAG00010003899.1)". Lineage: Eukaryota; Metazoa; Chordata; Mammalia; Rodentia; Sciuridae. The record is from RNAcentral.
UUGACAUCCCAGGAGAGUUCUUGCCAUCCUCAUCCACACACUAUUAAUAGCACAGGCAUUGGCCAUGUGCACUAUCCCACACCACACUGAAACUGGACUUCAACCCUCUGCUAUAGAGGCCACCCCUGGUGAUGAGAAGGAGCUUGUCCUUCAUAGCAAUUUCAUUCUUGGCUUUU